GAUGAACGCUGGCGGCGUGCCUAAUACAUGCAAGUCGAGCUAACGGACGAGAAGCUUGCUUCUCUGAUGUUAGCGGCGGACGGGUGAGUAACACGUGGAUAACCUACCUAUAAGACUGGGAUAACUUCGGGAAACCGGAGCUAAUACCGGAUAAUAUUUUGAACCGCAUGGUUCAAAAGUGAAAGACGGUCUUGCUGUCACUUAUAGAUGGAUCCGCGCUGCAUUAGCUAGUUGGUAAGGUAACGGCUUACCAAGGCAACGAUGCAUAGCCGACCUGAGAGGGUGAUCGGCCACACUGGAACUGAGACACGGUCCAGACUCCUACGGGAGGCAGCAGUAGGGAAUCUUCCGCAAUGGGCGAAAGCCUGACGGAGCAACGCCGCGUGAGUGAUGAAGGUCUUCGGAUCGUAAAACUCUGUUAUUAGGGAAGAACAUAUGUGUAAGUAACUGUGCACAUCUUGACGGUACCUAAUCAGAAAGCCACGGCUAACUACGUG
RNAcentral lists this ribosomal RNA (497 nucleotides) under uncultured bacterium. RNAcentral describes it as "partial 16S ribosomal RNA". It matches the Rfam family "Bacterial small subunit ribosomal RNA", at positions 28 to 507 of the family's 1533-position model. The record is from RNAcentral.